UUUUCAUUCCCGUUGUUAUGGAGGGCCACAUCUGCCAGAGCCUGGAGUCUGCGAAGGCCGGGACCCGGUUCCCCGGCCCACAGUGGGGGUGUGCAAACCCGAGAGAACUGGGUUGCAAAUUCGUGAAGAAUCAGCAUCAUGUUUGGCAGCUGAGUAUUGGAGCCAGGAGCCUGCCAUGAGGUUUUGAGAACAGAGUGCUGUUUUAGAGCUGGCAGCAGCAUCUCAGCCCAAGAGAAGCCGAUGCAGCCUCAGUGUUCCUUUGCCUUGGGGGUUUCUGAGUGGUGGGGUUGUAAGCAGAUCCUGCCAGGCACCCAGAAGGAAACCUCAUCAGGACUCCCUCAGAAAGGCCCUGAAGAAUCCUGUGACCUUCAUCUAAAGUAGGUCAUGAGACCCCUGAGCUUAAAACGGAGUGAUCGGCUUUGGAGAAGCAUGACUCCACAGUUUCUGCAACAACAGAGCCGGGGAAAGGAGGACGCAGCAAGCGCUGAAUAUUAACCAGCAAAGGUAGAUGCUUCAAUAUCGAAACCACCGGGACCCGCAUGUGCAAAGCUACUUAAUGAGGGUGUAAUCAAACACAGUCUACCA
Molecule: long non-coding RNA, 585 nt
Filed under: Homo sapiens (human)
Lineage: Eukaryota; Metazoa; Chordata; Mammalia; Primates; Hominidae
Description: non-protein coding LRRC75A-AS1:52
Source: RNAcentral